This 85-nucleotide ribosomal RNA is filed under the name Escherichia coli. Its description in RNAcentral is "partial 16S ribosomal RNA". It matches the Rfam family "Bacterial small subunit ribosomal RNA", at positions 1 to 83 of the family's 1533-position model. The record is from RNAcentral. Lineage: Bacteria; Pseudomonadati; Pseudomonadota; Gammaproteobacteria; Enterobacterales; Enterobacteriaceae.
UUUAAUUGAAGAGUUUGAUCAUGGCUCAGAUUGAACGCUGGCGGCAGGCCUAACACAUGCAAGUCGAACGGUAACAGGAAGCAGC